AUUGAACGCUGGCGGCAUGCCUUACACAUGCAAGUCGAACGGUAACGGGCCUUCGGGUGCCGACGAGUGGCGAACGGGUGAGUAAUACAUCGGAACGUGCCCGAUCGUGGGGGAUAACGAGGCGAAAGCUUUGCUAAUACCGCAUACGAUCUACGGAUGAAAGCAGGGGACCGCAAGGCCUUGCGCGGACGGAGCGGCCGAUGGCAGAUUAGGUAGUUGGUGGGAUAAAAGCUUACCAAGCCGACGAUCUGUAGCUGGUCUGAGAGGAUGAUCAGCCACACUGGGACUGAGACACGGCCCAGACUCCUACGGGAGGCAGCAGUGGGGAAAUUUGGACAAUGGGCGCAAGCCUGAUCCAGCCAUGCCGCGUGCAGGAUGAAGGCCUUCGGGUUGUAAACUGCUUUUGUACGGAACGAAAAGCCUUCUUUUAAUACAGGAGGGUCAUGACGGUACCGUAAGAAUAAGCACCGGCUAACUACGUG
This 482-nucleotide ribosomal RNA is filed under the name uncultured bacterium. Its description in RNAcentral is "partial 16S ribosomal RNA". It matches the Rfam family "Bacterial small subunit ribosomal RNA", at positions 30 to 507 of the family's 1533-position model. The record is from RNAcentral.